This 2996-nucleotide long non-coding RNA is filed under the name Athene cunicularia (burrowing owl). RNAcentral's name for it is "lncRNA (ENSACUG00000009093.1)". The record is from RNAcentral. Lineage: Eukaryota; Metazoa; Chordata; Aves; Strigiformes; Strigidae.
GUCCUCUAAUAGGCUGCAUGCUAUCUACACGUGCUGUCCACGUGCUUGUACAAGCAUUUGCAUUGGUUAAUUGUAUUUAAUUGUAUUAAAUACAUUUAAAUUCUACAGGCAUUUGUAUUGGUUAAUUGUAUAUAAAAGCCCCAAACUUGCCAAACUACAUUAUCCCAUAUCUUGCUUUGUUCAAACUGGUAUGCUUUUGCUGACCACAGGUGUUUGUUUUUUGCUAUCUGUACAGCUACUUCUUCUUUUGCUAGCUUUGCCUUUGGCCUUGAAUCCACCUGUCUGCAUUAACUCCUGUCUAAUGGACUCCUCCACCAACCCCAAAUGGGGUGCAGUCAACAGAUUGCUAAAUAGUUGUCAAUAAGUCAACUAAUUAUUUUUCAGAAGAACUUAGCAUGGGAGACUUAUCCUCUGCCCAUGUGCUGGGGGGUGUUGUGUUAUUAUUUUGUUGACAGCUGCUUUGUUACUGCAGGCCCUCGUGGAUGUCUCCUGGACUAGCAGGGCUGGGGCAGGAGCCAGCUGCCACGGUUUGAGGAAGCUGAGCUCUCCUCAGAGUUUGAGGUUCACUUUGUCUCUCCAGGUUGACAGGAACAAGAAGGAUGCUCUCAGAAACACGGCGAAGGUUGUUCAAAGGGCUGGCAAGCUUGGUGCCAAAUCCACACAGCAUGCUGGCCACACUGCUCAGCAGAAGUCUUCAAGUACCUCCCAGAGAGCAGUGGUGGUGCGUCCUGAGCAGCUGAAAAAGAGGACAAAUCUUCCCACGGGGCUUGUGCCAAGAACAAGCCACACUAUACAGGCCAGAGGAAGGCUCCCAACUUCAAACUCUGGUCACCAAAAUCCAGCAAUGAACAAGAAGCCUGCACAGGAGACUGUUAGUGCUGCAGCACCUCAGACUAGUAGUGACCACUCCCCUCCUGGGGCACCUUGCUCCCUAACUGAGGGCCUGCAGGACAGGACAGGCUGCAACAAAGAAAACGUCCAAGCACAAGCCUCUACACAGCCUGUGCUGAACACAGUUUUUCAGUCUGAUGGAAACAAUCUUGGGAACAAGAGACUCUUGGGUCACAGGCAAAGCUCAGCCAGGAUGUCAAGAACCAUCACAGGCCAAAAGGACAGAAUUAAUAGCCGUCAGGCUAAGGAAGAGCCUAUUCAGGAUAAAUUCAGGAAAACUCUGCCAGGCUCAAAAAGCACAUCUCAAAAAACAAGUGUCAAAACUGAGCUGUUGCAGCCCCCUCUGUUACUUACUGCUUCUACUAAUUUGCUACAUAAAAAACCAGGGGCAAACCAGGAAAAAACUAAUCCGGCAAGGCAACCCGUAGGAAAGCCACUCGGCAUGCUUCCAGGGGGAAAUCUUAAGUGCCACAGUAGACCACCCCAAAUGAAAAGAUCUCCUGUAAAACCUGCAGCCUCCAGCAGGCCCCAGGGGACCACAAACCUGAAACCCAGCCUGAAGCCAUGUGGCCCCACGCAAGGGCAAAGGCCCGCGGCUAACAGGGAGGCGGGUAGGAAGGAUGUGAAGGUGGUACCUGUCGGACGCACAGCAUCAUCCCAAGCUACAGUCCCCCAAAACCACCCUCACAGCACACACAGUUCUGAAACUCAAGCAAUUAAGACUGAUUUUACAAGUAGGAGAGAGAAGCUUAAGUCAGAGCUGCCAAAGGCAAGCGGCACACAGACUAGGCGUUUUCCCAAGAUCCCAUCCGCUGCAGAUCGUAAGAAACAGCUGGAGGAGUGGUUGGCAUCCAAAGGCAAGACAUACAAGCGGCCACCUAUGACACUACUCCAGAAGAAGCCACUGAAACUGUCCUGGAGAAAUGACAUGGUGGAAGAGAAGCAAGAGAAACCAGAGCAGCUCUGCCUGGAGGAGACCAGCAACAUAUUAACUGAGUGCCUGAAGCUCAUUGAGGAGGUGAUAAUGGGAAAGGAGCUGCUUGAACCUUCUUCUGGAGCAUACCAGUUGAGGGCCAUGUCCCCAAGCAGCACCGAGGUGUUGGGAGCGUUCUUGCUCCCUUGGCUGCAGUUGCCAGAGGGGUAACAUCGUAUGUAGGGAAAGUAAAAGUCCCCGUGGAGUUACAUAGAGGCCAAAGGCACACAGUGAGCUGUGCUAAGGGGGAAAACAGAGCAAUACCCAGUCACAGGGCUCGCAUGGGUCCUCGCUGGUGUCCUGGUACCUGGCAGCAUGGUCUGCAGCAGGAAUUUCUGCAGCAGCAGCCCGGGCUGAUGGAGCCAGCAAGAGGUAUGUCCCUGGUGGACCUCACAGCUGCCAGGGAGGAUCAUCCCAGCAAUGCUGAGCACCAGCACUGUGCCAGGACUUAGUGGCUCUGCUGAUGCCAGCACUGAAGAGUCUAUCCCUCAACACCCCUCUAGACUUGUUCUACCAAGGGGAAAAUAGAGGCAGAAAAGCUGUUACCUGUCCAGGGUCACAUAGGAGACAAAACCCAGACUCUUCAGACCCUCCUUUUCCUAGAGAAGUGCUGGGAGAGCAGCUUCUCCAGUGCACACCUCUGGCCCUUGCAAUUACAUCUCUCUCCAGGACAUUGCCCUUCUUCUUGUAGGGUGCCAAGACAGAGGACCUCUCUGCAAUGUUGUCCCAAGUGCCCCAGGCAGAGAAAUUCGCCAAGUUCUGGAUUUGCAAAGUGAAACUGCUGGCCCGCGGUGGCCCUUUUGAUGUGAUGGGGUUGUACAGAGCUGCAGUCUGUGCUGGUGCUGUGGUGAGUGAGGCACGCUUCUCUUCAGCAGCUCCCUGUCUCUGUACCCCCCCUGUUUCCUCAAGAUCUAGGGGUUGGAUUUUGGGAUGAGUUUAGAAGCACUAGUCACUGGUAAAAAAGCCUUUUAGAGCUGCUAGUCCAGUUUUGUCACGUGGAAACAACUUUGGCUCCAAUCAGCCAAGCAGGCAGUGCCAUGCGGGCACGAACGGGGCCGGGGGAGGAUGAGGAGGACACACACACCCUGCACUGUGUCAGAGUUUUAGCUGGAAGCAGCAUGAUGGCAGCUCU